AUAAGAUUGUAGUAUCGCAUGAUAUAGCAAUUAAAGGAGCAAUUCGCUAUAAGAUGGACCCGCCGUCGCAUUAGCUAGUUGGUGAGGGUAAUGGCUCACCAAGGCGACGAUGCGUAGCCGACCUGAGAGGGUGAUCGGCCACAUUGGGACUGAGACACGGCCCAGACUCCUACGGGAGGCAGCAUG
This 186-nucleotide ribosomal RNA is filed under the name uncultured bacterium. RNAcentral's name for it is "partial 16S ribosomal RNA". It matches the Rfam family "Bacterial small subunit ribosomal RNA", at positions 173 to 353 of the family's 1533-position model. The record is from RNAcentral.